GAACUGGUGCAAAGACGCCGAUUGGUGGAUGACUCGGCUUGAUAAGCGAAGAAGGACGUGGCAAGCUGCGAUAAGCCUGGGGUAGGUGCACGCGACCGUAGAUCCCAGGAUGUCCGAAUGAGGUCUCUCUUUUACACUCCCUUUCUUAUUUUCUAUAGAUUGGGAGAGCGAACCGUCCGAAGUGAAGCAUCUGAGUAGGACGAGGAAAAGAAAUCAAUAGAGAUUCCGCUAGUAGCGGCGAGCGAAAACGGAACAGCCCAAACUGAAUCUGUUAUGGUAACAUAAUAGAGAUGUGGUGUUACGGUUAUAGCGUAUAAAAUCCUGUCUUUAGAGCUAAAGUGUACUGGAAUGUACCGGAAUAGAGGGUGAUACCCCCGUAAGCAAAUAAAGAUAGGAUUUUGCUAUAUCCAGAGUAACUGGCCUUGGCAGUGGCCAGCGAAGGUGGGUAAAAGUAGUAUCCAAGGCUAAAUAUUCAUCAAGACCGAUAGAAUACUAGUACCGUGAGGGAAAGUUGAAAAGUACCCCGGAAGGGGGGUUAAAAGCGCCUGAAACCAAUCGGUUACAGACGUGUAUGGCUCGAAAGGAUUAUCUAGAGUCAUACGUUCCGUCUAGAAACACGGGCCAGGGAGAUUGCUGUCAUGGCAAGCUUAACCUUUAACAGAGGGAAGGCGAAGGGAAACCGAAAUUUGCGCAUUUUUUCUUUCAUAGAAAAAAGAGGCAAUGGAUCUGAAAGGGUCUCAAGUCAUGGCAGUAAGGCUAGAAACCGGACGAUCUAGUCCUGGAUAAGACGAAGGUGAGCGAAAGCUCGCUGGAGGUCUGCAAGGGUCCUGACGUGCAAAUCGGUCCUCUGAUCUGGGAUUAGGGGUCAAAAACCAAUCUAGUCCGGUGAUCGCUAGUUCCCACCGAAGUGGAUCGCAGUCCUGCCUUAGCUGAGAUGGCCUGUAUUGUAGAGCACCGAUCGGAUGGUAAGGGCUCGAAAGAGCUCGCCAUCCAUUCGAACUCCGAAGAUACGGGCGUCGUAGAAGCUAGGAGGCGGGUUUAUGUGGGGUAAGCCUCAUAACCGAGAGGGGGACAACCCAGACUAAAGUUAAGGUCCCCAAAUGUCUACUAAGUGUCAAACCAAAGGGUGUUUUCGAGCAAAGACAGCAGGAAGGUAGGCUCAGAAGCAGCCAUUCUUCAAAGAGUGCGUAACAGCUCACCUGCCGAGCUCGAAAGCCCCGAAAAUUCACGGGGCUCAAGUAGACUACCGAUACUUUAGACCACCGACGAUGUCGGUGCGUGGUAGGUGGGCGUAGUGUUUGGGUAGAAGCAGGGCUGUAAAGUCCUGUGGACCGAACUACUAGUGCAGAUCCUGGUGGUAGUAACAGCAUAGCCGGGUGAGAAUCUCGGCGACCGCAUGGGCAAGGGUUUCCCGGCAAUGCGUCAUCAGCCGGGAGUUAGCCGGUCCUAAAAACAACCUCAACAGAAUUGUUUGAAUGGGAAACUGGUUAAUAUUCCAGUGCCUUGAAAGUUCGUUAUUACCUUUUCUGUCGCUUCCGGAUAAGGCAAGCAGAACCGUCGUUCUGUCCAAGUAUUCUAGCUUUGAGGAGUGCCGUAAUGGCGAGAAUUAAAGCGAGAUGCGAAUGGCCUUCUGCAAGGAGGGUUUGCUUGAUUCCAGGAGACAAUGAAAGCAGAAAUAGGAAGAUACUUUCAAGUCCGUACCGAGAUCCGACACUGGUGCCCUGGAUGAGAAGUCUAAGGUCUAUCGGGUAUACCGUAUGGCAAGGGAACUCGGCAAAAUAGCUCCGUACCUAUGGUAUAAGGAGUGCCUGCAGUUUUUACGAGGAGUAGGGACUGCAGGUCGCAGUGACUAGGGGGUCCCGACUGUUUAAUAAAAACACAGGUGGUCGCUAGUCCGAAAGGAUGUGUAUGGCCUCUGUAUCCUGGCCAGUGGCGGUACCUAAAACCUGGGUUCAACCGGG
This 1961-nucleotide ribosomal RNA is filed under the name Thermoproteota archaeon. RNAcentral's name for it is "partial 23S ribosomal RNA". It matches the Rfam family "Archaeal large subunit ribosomal RNA", at positions 1 to 1989 of the family's 2987-position model. The record is from RNAcentral. Lineage: Archaea; Thermoproteati; Thermoproteota.